GUCAUCCGCUCUUCGAGACGAAUAGUUACAGUGAGACUUUUACUUGAGACACAUCAGUCACGCCAAUGCAUUUCACGUUCAAAGAGUUCGAAGAAUAACCGGUUUGUCACCUGCUGAGAACAUUUGGACUAAAUAGUAUUUGAGUAAAUAAUAACGAGAUCACAAGUUGUUAGCCGUGGUUUGUUCGUGAGAAAAUGGAUGAGAUACUUUUUUUGGAUGAGGAUCCACCGACUGAUGAAAACAAUGCUAUGGAUAGACCAAAAAGUGAUCCCGUUAUCGAUCUCUUUUCCAUAUACAGACUCUAACAACAAGGGAAACAGCAAAUGUAUGUCGAGUGUUCAAAUUCUUCAAGGAUCUUCGAAAAUAACAGCUAUGUUCUCGGUCCCGUCGACAUCUUUCGCUCCGCAAAUCAAUACCAGUUGCAAGAUAGCCACGCAUCAACAAACUCUCUAAUAUCUGGUGACACAAUACGAGGGUAGAGAUACGAAAGUAGGUUACAAACCCACUUUGUGAGCACGCCCGCGGAGAUCUCGCAAAAACGUCGGUACACGAUCGAUCAACCCGAAGCUGCGAAAAUGCUUAAUAUUCUUACACUCAUUUAUCACGAUCAGUAAAGGUGCAAAAAAGUGAAGCUGAAUCCUGCAUUGACGAUUCGUGAAAAACCUCCAAGUGGGAACCAUUCGAUGAUUAUUUCACAUCUCAUUAAUCCCACCGUUUUAUGCGGUAAAAGCGACAAAUAUUGGAGAGCUAAUCUAAUUUGAAAGAGAGCAUUGGAAGUUUGGAAAAAUGUACUUGCACACGUUCAGCUGUAUGCUGCAAAACAGUUGAAUUAUCUUUCUUUGGUUUGCAAAAUGAGGACAAGUGCAAAGAGGUACGGGAUAUUAUCAACAGGCAUUGACGAUCUAUGAAGUUGGAAUGGAACUGGAUGAUACAAACGUCACUGAAGCCAGAAGCAAUUCAAAUUCAGGCUAUAUAAAACAGGGAAAAUACAAAGAUAUGAACUGAUCUUUACUAUCAGAGCUUCACACGAACUCACGAGAAAGAAUCCAGUACUAUCUACUGGGACAAAAAAUCAACUCGGCAGCUUUCGAGCGAUUUUUUCCACUCCAAUAAAACCUGACAACACCGAUUUGCGGCCCAGUUUAUCGAAAAAUACGAAGAUGGAAUCAUGCGAGUUUCACAAGAAAGGCGGGACGGCCCUCUACUAAUCUGAAGUAUCGGAUUUGUAUAUGUUCAUUUACAAACACGUGGGUAACGGCGGAAUCAGAAGAGAACAAGCACAACGGUGGAGUCACACAUUGCAUCGAAUAUGAUAGUCUGCACAAAGAGUGGAAAUUGUUUCAUCAACGGUAACUACAUGCUUAAAAAUCUUAUUUAUCAAUCACAACAAAGGUAUAAAACAGGGCCGUGCGAGAGAUUUUAAAUAUUACGGAUAGAAGCUACACUGUAGUGUAAAAAUUAAUUCUAGAAGUGUCCAUUCUCGCUCUUAUACACUUACAAAUCAUGAAGGGUUAGUCUAUUUGUUCUUAUGAUAUUUUUAUUCGAAUAUUUGGGUGGGGGUCAAAACAGCAAACGAUCAAAAUAGCGAACAGGCAUUCUGCAUAUCUGUAUAUGCAUAUAUAGAUAUACUAAAUGCCCUGUUCGCUAUUUUGUCGUUCGUUGUAUUGACCCCCACCCGAAUAUUUAACUAGACACUAUUCACAUUUACUAUCACUAGAGCACACUACGACACAAAAUUUUAGUUUUUUCAAUGACAGUUUUGAAUGCUCAGCCAUUACUCAGCCGCAUACUUUGUGGUAACAUUUGUUUCCGCAUAAAGUUGACCAUAGUGUGUAUGAAGGAGAGAAAUAUUCAAAUGGAUACAAGAAGUAGGAACGAGACAGUGCGAUGGGUUUAAUGAAAUGCAUGCUCAACCCUUUAUUUGUUAUAAAAAAUAUAUUCAUAGAAAAUUAUCAGAAACUUCAGGAUUCAGCUAUCAACUAAAUGCACAUGCGUGUGUGGAUAUAAUAUUGUACCGUGUAUGUUGAACCUUAAUUAUUGUUAUCGUAGACAAACUUUUUAUUAUAAUAAUACUUGUGCAAAAUCAACCUCAAUUCAGGACUAAAUUGCCAUGUCGAAGCAGUGUCUGUCUUCUUUGAGAUUCAAUUUUCAACUGACUCCUUCUUGCCCAGCAAACAACUGCUUCAGCGGAAGGAGGGAGAAUUAUGAAAAGUUUAAACAUCUUUUAGUAAAAAAAUAUAAAGAAAGUACGGUCCUCUAAAUGGACGCCAUUUGGUUUUCCUCAUCGGAAAGAUGACUUCCCGAAGUACGCAGCACAUUGAUAUUUUUUAAGAUUUAGAAGAAUACAACACAAAAAAAAAGUAAAUUCAUGAGUCAUGAAUGUGGUCGCCACGCAAUGGACAGUCCGCACGAUGGCUCUUGAAUCCCAUCCGUCGCUCACUCACUAAGUCCUUUGUUACAUCCCCGUAGAAGAUUUUGAAUUAGUAGGGGUAUACGUAACACGGUGUUACGUCCCCGUAGAAGAUUUUGAAUUAGCAGGGGGGUAUACGCAACACGGUAUUGACUCUUCUUUUGGGUCAAGACACUCAAGUCCUUUACCCGGGGACGAGAGCCACGUUGAUUGAGUAUGGGAGCGCAAGAAUAAUAUUUCCUUUUUGCGAGUUAGGUUGAUUUAGACCCCGAUGGCAUGCAGAUGAACCCUCUGGGGGGUGACGAUGUGGUUUGUUUGAAUAAAAGAGUACUCACAGGUUUUUUUUCCUUGCUUGGUUAAUUGGUGUUACUCUUUAUUGGAAGGUACUGGUUGUUCCCUUGUUACGUCCCUGUAGAAGAUUUUGAAUUGGCAGGGGGUAUAUGCAACACGGUAUUGACUCUUCUUUCGGGUCAAGACACUCAAGUCCUUUACCCAGGGACGAGAGCCACGUCGAUUGAGUAUGGGAGAGCAAGAAUGAUAUUUCCUUUUUGCGAGUUAGGUUGAUUUAGAUCCCGAUGGCAUGCAGAUGAUGAACCCUCUGGGGGGUGACGAUGUGGUUUGUUUGAAUAAAAGGGUACUCACAGG
This is a long non-coding RNA of Venturia canescens, 3055 nucleotides long. RefSeq lists it as uncharacterized. The transcript is spliced from 4 exons. The record is from RefSeq and is a predicted model, not a curated record. Lineage: Eukaryota; Metazoa; Arthropoda; Insecta; Hymenoptera; Ichneumonidae.